Arachis ipaensis is the source of this 565-nucleotide non-coding RNA. The record is from RefSeq and is a predicted model, not a curated record. Lineage: Eukaryota; Viridiplantae; Streptophyta; Magnoliopsida; Fabales; Fabaceae.
UUCCUCGUUGCGGGCUGAGUUCGAGUUACUGCCUGUUGCGGUUAGAGCUGUUGUUGCUGUUACGAGUAGUUGGAGCUGAGGCUGCCUCUACCGCCGGAGAGCGCUCUGCCAUUGAUUCACCGGAGCUUCUGGCCGCUGCCGAAGCUGUUGCCGGACCGGUUCGAAAUCGCAGCUGCUUCGUGUUGUCAUUCUGGUAAGAAAUUAUGUUUUGAAAGCCCUACGUUAGUGUCCCGUACGUAUAUUAAAGCCUUUAUGGUAUUAAUGUCCUUAGAGUUUAGUAACUGAGGUUGCUUUUUGUAAUUUAGAACUGUUUACGCUGCUGCAAAACGUGUGGGGCUGUGCUUUGAAGCUGCCUUUGAUUUCGGGUUGAGGCGGAAAUGACUCUGUGAGACGUUUGGGUUAUGGAAUUGCGUUUUGAGGUAGGGGCGCUUUCCAAAAACUAUAUUUUUAUAUGUUGGAAUUAUUAUAUAUGGAUACUGAUGUGAGAAAAUGUGUAUUUGGUGAUUGUAUCGGCCUUAUGUAUUAUUUGAUUGACUCGAAUGUUUAUGGAUGUUGGUUUGGCUGA